RNAcentral lists this ribosomal RNA (614 nucleotides) under uncultured bacterium. RNAcentral's name for it is "bacterial SSU rRNA". It matches the Rfam family "Bacterial small subunit ribosomal RNA", at positions 338 to 945 of the family's 1533-position model. The record is from RNAcentral.
CCUACGGGAGGCAGCAGUAAGGAAUAUUGGUCAAUGGGCGCAAGCCUGAACCAGCCAUGCCGCGUGCAGGAAGACGGCCCUAUGGGUUGUAAACUGCUUUUGAACAAGAGAAAACCUCGGUACGUGUACCGAGCUGAUAGUAUUGUUAGAAUAAGCAUCGGCUAACUUCGUGCCAGCAGCCGCGGUAAGACGAAGGAUGCAAGCGUUAUCCGGAUUCAUUGGGUUUAAAGGGUGCGUAGGCGGCCUGAUAAGUCAGUGGUGAAAUCUCUCAGCUUAACUGAGAAACUGCCAUUGAUACUGUCGGGCUUGAGUACAGAUGAUGUGGGCGGAAUAUGACAUGUAGUGGUGAAAUACUUAGAUAUGUCAUAGAACACCGAUUGCGAAGGCAGCUCACAAAACUGUAACUGACGCUGAGGCACGAAAGUGCGGGGAUCAAACAGGAUUAGAUACCCUGGUAGUCCGCACCGUAAACGAUGAUUACUCGUUGUUGGCAAUAUGACCGUCAGCGACCAAAGCGAAAGCGAAUAAGUAAUUCCACCUGGGGAGUUACGCCGGCAACGGUUGAAACUUCAAAGGAAUUGACGGCNGAGAGNGCGAGGACGACACGAGGAGAG